CUGAGACUGAACGCUCUCCUAUUUUUGUUUUAUUACUUUGGCGCAAGAUACGUUACCAGCUGUUUAUUUUACUAAGAAGAAAAUGGUGCAAAACCAACUGAUAACUAGCCACCUUUUUCCUUCGCUGAAAAAUCAAGGAAGAUUUAUUGAUUUCCUUUAGUAUUGGGUUUGCUUAAAGGAAGUGGAACCAUGGAUUGGUUUACUUUACACACUUUUUACCUUAACAAAUCAAGCAUUUUUAAAUUGCAACUCUUAUUAAGUUAUUUAUAUUUUAAUUAUUAACGCUUAUACAGCCGAGGCAGAAGCAGAAAUAACGACAACGAUAAUCUAUAAAUACAUUUAGAAGGUUAAAACAUUAACUCAGUACCAAAAUGAAUCUGAGACUGAACGCUCUUCUGUUUUUGAUUUGCGGCUUUGGCGCAAGGUGGUCCUUUUCUAGAACAGCGGAAUCAAAAUAGAGCCUGCAUCAUUUUAACAAUGGAAAUAUAUUGGAUGUGUAAUAAUCUUAUUAAGUACUAAAUAAGCUACAUUGUCUUAAUUUUAAUUGGUAUAUUAUUAAAAUAUAUAUAAUCGUAGAUACUACAUGCUAAA
Drosophila rhopaloa is the source of this 591-nucleotide long non-coding RNA. RefSeq lists it as uncharacterized. Lineage: Eukaryota; Metazoa; Arthropoda; Insecta; Diptera; Drosophilidae. The record is from RefSeq and is a predicted model, not a curated record. The transcript has 2 exons.